AGAGUUUGAUUCUGGCUCAGGAUGAACGCUGGCGGCGUGCUUAACACAUGCAAGUCGAACGAGGUCCAACCUUCGGGUGAAGACCGAGUGGCGAACGGGUGAGUAACACGUGGGGAACCUGCCCUUCUCUCUGGGAUAACCUCGGGAAACCGAAGCUAAUACCGGAUACUCCUUGCGGACCGCAUGGUCUGCUCGGGAAAGCUCCGGCGGAGAAGGAUGGCCCCGCGGCCCAUUAGCUUGUUGGUGGGGUAACGGCCCACCAAGGCGACGAUGGGUAGCCGAGCUGAGAGGCUGAUCGGCCACACUGGGACUGAGACACGGCCCAGACUCCUACGGGAGGCAGCAGUGGGGAAUCUUGCGCAAUGGGCGAAAGCCUGACGCAGCAACGCCGCGUGCGGGAUGAAGGCUCUCGGGUCGUAAACCGCUUUCAGCAGGGAUGAAAAUGACAGUACCUGCAGAAGAAGCCCCGGCUAAAUACGUGCCAGCAGCCGCGGUAAUACGUAUGGGGCAAGCGUUAUCCGGAUUCAUUGGGCGUAAAGCGCGCGUAGGCGGCUUGUUAAGUCAGGCGUGAAAUCCGGGGGCUCAACCCGCGGCUUGCGUCUGAAACUGGCAGGCUUGAGUCUGGUAGAGGAAAGUGGAAUUCCUGGUGUAGCGGUGAAAUGCGCAGAUAUCAUGAGGAACACCAGUGGCGAAGGCGGCUUUCUGGGCCACGACUGACGCUGAGGCGCGAAAGCUAGGGGAGCGAACAGGAUUAGAUACCCUGUAGUC
This 768-nucleotide ribosomal RNA is filed under the name uncultured Actinomycetes bacterium. RNAcentral describes it as "bacterial SSU rRNA". It matches the Rfam family "Bacterial small subunit ribosomal RNA", at positions 8 to 795 of the family's 1533-position model. Lineage: Bacteria; Bacillati; Actinomycetota; Actinomycetes. The record is from RNAcentral.